CCUACGGGUGGCAGCAGUGAGGAAUAUUGGUCAAUGGCCGGAAGGCUGAACCAGCCAAGCCGCGUGAAGGACGAAGGUGCCAAGCAUUGUAAACUUCUUUUGUCAAGGGACAAAAUCAGGCUCGAGAGCCUGACCGAGGGUACUUGAAGAAAAAGCAUCGGCUAACUCCGUGCCAGCAGCCGCGGUAAUACGGAGGAUGCGAGCGUUAUCCGGAUUUAUUGGGUUUAAAGGGUGCGUAGGCGGACUGUUAAGUCAGCGGUAAAAGCCCGGGGCUCAACCCCGGCGAGCCGUUGAAACUGGCUGACUGGAGUGCUGGAGAGGCAAGCGGAAUUCCUAGUGGAGCGGUGAAAUGCGUAGAUAUUAGGAAGAACACCAGUGGCGAAGGCGGCUUGCUGGACAGUAACUGACGUUGAGGCUCGAAAGCGUGGGGAGCAAAUAGGAUUAGAUACCCGAGUAGUC
RNAcentral lists this ribosomal RNA (459 nucleotides) under uncultured bacterium. RNAcentral's name for it is "partial 16S ribosomal RNA". It matches the Rfam family "Bacterial small subunit ribosomal RNA", at positions 338 to 795 of the family's 1533-position model. The record is from RNAcentral.